GACGAACGCUGGCGGCGUGCUUAACACAUGCAAGUCGAACGGAGUGGCGAACGGGUGCGUAAUGUAUCGGAACGUGCCCAGUAGCGGGGGAUAACUACGCGAAAGCGUAGCUAAUACCGCAUACUAUUGGACCGGCGGCUAUCGGCUUAGCUAGUUGGUGGGGUAACGGCUCACCAAGGCGACGCUCCGUAGCUGGUUUGAGAGGACGACCAGCCACACUGGGACUGAGACACGGCCCAGACUCCUACGGGAGGCAGCAGUGGGGAAUUUUGGACAAUGGGGGCAACCCUGAUCCAGCCAUCCCGCGUGUGCGAUGAAGGCCUUCGGGUUGUAAAGCACUUUUGGCAGGAAAGCGGUACCUGCAGAAUAAGCACCGGCUAACUACGUGCCAGCCGCCGCGGUAAUAC
Molecule: ribosomal RNA, 407 nt
Filed under: uncultured bacterium
Lineage: Bacteria
Description: partial 16S ribosomal RNA
Rfam family: Bacterial small subunit ribosomal RNA
Source: RNAcentral